UCGGACAGUUUGCUCAUUUAUUGCAACGGUCAAGGCUGGCUUGUGCCAGAACGGCGCGCGCGCGCGCACGCACGCACACACACGGGGGGAAACUUUUUUAAAAAUGAAAGGCUAGAAGAGCUCAGCGGCGGCGCGGGCGCUGCGCGAGGGCUCCGGAGCUGACUCGCCGAGGCAGGAAAUCCCUCCGGUCGCGACGCCCGGCCCCGGCUCGGCGCCCGCGUGGGAUGGUGCAGCGCUCGCCGCCGGGCCCGAGAGCUGCUGCACUGAAGGCCGGCGACGAUGGCAGCGCGCCCGCUGCCCGUGUCCCCCGCCCGCGCCCUCCUGCUCGCCCUGGCCGGUGCUCUGCUCGCGCCCUGCGAGGCCCGAGGGGUGAGCUUAUGGAACCAAGGAAGAGCUGAUGAAGUUGUCAGUGCCUCUGUUGGGAGUGGGGACCUCUGGAUCCCAGUGAAGAGCUUCGACUCCAAGAAUCAUCCAGAAGUGCUGAAUAUUCGACUACAACGGGAAAGCAAAGAACUGAUCAUAAAUCUGGAAAGAAAUGAAGGUCUCAUUGCCAGCAGUUUCACGGAAACCCACUAUCUGCAAGACGGUACUGAUGUCUCCCUCGCUCGAAAUUACACGGGUCACUGUUACUACCAUGGACAUGUACGGGGAUAUUCUGAUUCAGCAGUCAGUCUCAGCACGUGUUCUGGUCUCAGGGGACUUAUUGUGUUUGAAAAUGAAAGCUAUGUCUUAGAACCAAUG
This 741-nucleotide long non-coding RNA is filed under the name Homo sapiens (human). RNAcentral describes it as "long non-coding RNA NONHSAT157684.1". The record is from RNAcentral. Lineage: Eukaryota; Metazoa; Chordata; Mammalia; Primates; Hominidae.